AUGGCCGGCGCGGUGUCGGCGCUGUUCCUGCUGGACAUCAAGGGCCGCGUCCUCGUCUGGCGCGACUUCCGCGGCGACGUCACCGCCGUCCAGGCCGAGCGCUUCUUCACCAAGCUCCUCGACAAGGAGGGCGAUGCGGAGGCGUACUCGCCGGUGGUCUACGACGACGCGGGCGUCACCUACAUGUUUAUACAGCAUAACAAUAUUUUCCUCCUCACCGCCUCCCGCCAAAACUGCAACGCCGCUAGCAUCCUCCUAUUCCUCCACCGCGUCGUCGAUGUGUUCAAGCACUAUUUCGAGGAAUUGGAGGAGGAAUCACUCAGAGAUAACUUUGUCGUCGUGUAUGAGUUGCUUGAUGAGAUGAUGGAUUUUGGGUAUCCACAAUACACCGAGGCAAAGAUUUUAAGCGAGUUCAUCAAGACAGAUGCAUACAAGAUGGAGGUCUCACAGAGGCCACCGAUGGCUGUGACAAAUGCUGUCUCAUGGAGGAGUGAGGGGAUUCGGUACAAAAAGAACGAAGUGUUCUUGGAUGUAGUGGAGAGUGUUAACAUUCUUGUUAAUAGCAAUGGGCAGAUUGUGAGAUCAGAUGUUGUUGGGGCACUGAAAAUGCGAACAUAUUUGAGUGGAAUGCCCGAGUGCAAACUCGGGUUGAAUGACAAGGUUCUUUUGGAGGCUCAGGGGCGAGCAACUAAAGGGAAGGCAAUAGAUCUUGAUGAUAUCAAAUUUCAUCAGUGUGUGCGAUUGGCCAGAUUUGAGAAUGAUAGGACGAUAUCAUUCAUCCCUCCAGAUGGAUCUUUUGAUCUGAUGACAUACAGGCUCAACACUCAGGUGAAACCUCUUAUCUGGGUGGAAGCCCAGGUUGAAAAACAUUCAAGAAGCCGGAUAGAAUUGAUGAUUAAGGCAAGAAGUCAGUUUAAGGAAAGAAGCACAGCAACAAAUGUUGAAAUUGAAGUUCCUGUUCCUUCAGAUGCCACAAACCCAAAUAUAAGAACUUCAAUGGGUUCUGCUGCAUAUGCACCUGAGAGAGAUGCAAUGGUCUGGAAAGUAAAAUCAUUUCCUGGUGGCAAAGAGUACAUGUGCAGAGCGGAGUUUAGUCUACCAAGUAUAAGUGCGGAAGAAGCAGUCCCUGAAAAGAAGGCACCGAUACGAGUGAAAUUUGAAAUACCAUAUUUCACUGUAUCGGGUAUUCAGGUUCGCUAUCUAAAGAUCAUUGAAAAGAGUGGGUACCAGGCGCUUCCGUGGGUUAGAUACAUUACCAUGGCAGGUGAAUACGAACUGAGACUUAUAUGA
This 1290-nucleotide ribosomal RNA is filed under the name Triticum aestivum (bread wheat). RNAcentral describes it as "partial small subunit ribosomal RNA". Lineage: Eukaryota; Viridiplantae; Streptophyta; Magnoliopsida; Poales; Poaceae. The record is from RNAcentral.